GGCUGGGCACUGCUUUUGUCGUGGGCACAGUGGCAGACAAGGCAGCCCAUAUGCUCAAUUGUUUAAGAGGAGAGGCGGAGAGGUGUCGGAGUAAUGAUUAAUGGAAAUGUGAGUGACUCUGCAGCAGCAACACAACAACAUCUGGUCUUGCAUCGGGCCCUUGUGCACAUCCAGUGGAUCGGUGGUGGUCCCGUAGCUCGACUGGAAUAGGAACAAACACAUCAUUAAAUCAGCAAUGUCCCACUGUCGUCAUCAUUAUGAAACUCAGUUUGAUGCCAACAUCUUUCAUUAAAAUAAAAACAUGCAGCCAUUUGGGGCCCCGAGUUCCCUCGGUACGGAAAUAUGACGCUAAUCACGGACACAGUGCAAGCCAAGCCUGGGGAAAACUGCUCUCUGCUUUAGGAGGGUUUUCAAAGAACACCAUUAAAAAAUAAUAAUUGAUGAAGUUGGCUCUGAGCAAAGGCACUAAGCACUUUAAAAGCCUUUCGUCGUCUUACAAUACAAUUUCCAAAUCAAUAUUUCAUUAACUGGAUAGAGGUGCAAUGUUCCUUGUUAAUAAAGAAGGUUUGGCUCAGCACAGA
Micropterus salmoides (largemouth bass) is the source of this 581-nucleotide long non-coding RNA. RefSeq lists it as uncharacterized. NCBI's taxonomy places the organism in Eukaryota, Metazoa, Chordata, Actinopteri, Centrarchiformes, Centrarchidae. The transcript is spliced from 2 exons. The record is from RefSeq and is a predicted model, not a curated record.